UCCGAGUUGACCCCGGCAGUCUCCUAUGAGUCCCCACCAUCACGUGCUGGCAACAUAGAACGAGGGUUGCGCUUGUUGCGGGACUUAACCCAACAUCUCACGACACGAGCUGACGACAACCAUGCACCACCUGUGCUAGCCCCUUACGGACACGGGCUUUCACCCGCUUUAACUAGCAUGUCAAACCCAGGUAAGGUUCUUCGCGUUGCAUCGGAUUAAGCCACAUGCUCCGCCGCUUGUGCGGGCCCCCGUCAAUUCCUUUGAGUUUUAAUCUUGCGACCGUACUUCCCAGGCGAGAUACUUAUCGCGUUAGCUAAGCCACAGCCGGAAUGAUUACCAGCUACAGCGAGUAUCUAUAGUUUACAGCGUGGACUAC
This 376-nucleotide unclassified non-coding RNA is filed under the name uncultured bacterium. Its description in RNAcentral is "contains 16S-23S intergenic spacer region". The record is from RNAcentral.